UACGGAGGGUGCAAGCGUUAUCCGGAUUUACUGGGUUUAAAGGGUGCGCAGGCGGAUAUGUAAGUCAGUGGUGAAAUCUCUGGGCUUAACCCGGAAAUUGCCAUUGAUACUAUAUAUCUUGAAUGCUGUGGAGGUAAGCGGAAUAUGUCAUGUAGCGGUGAAAUGCUUAGAGAUGACAUAGAACACCUAUUGCGAAGGCAGCUUACUACGCAGAGAUUGACGCUCAUGCACGAAAGCGUGGGUAGCAAACAGG
RNAcentral lists this ribosomal RNA (253 nucleotides) under uncultured bacterium. Its description in RNAcentral is "partial 16S ribosomal RNA". It matches the Rfam family "Bacterial small subunit ribosomal RNA", at positions 524 to 776 of the family's 1533-position model. The record is from RNAcentral.